RNAcentral lists this ribosomal RNA (445 nucleotides) under uncultured bacterium. Its description in RNAcentral is "bacterial SSU rRNA". It matches the Rfam family "Bacterial small subunit ribosomal RNA", at positions 338 to 795 of the family's 1533-position model. The record is from RNAcentral.
CCUACGGGUUGCACCAGUGGGGAAUAUUGCACAAUGGGCGAAAGCCUGAUGCAGCGACGCCGCGUGAGGGAUGACGGCCUUCGGGUUGUAAACCUCUUUCAGCACGGAAGAAGCGAAAGUGACGGUACGUGCAGAAGAAGCGCCGGCUAACUACGUGCCAGCAGCCGCGGUAAUACGUAGGGCGCAAGCGUUGUCCGGAAUUAUUGGGCGUAAAGAGCUCGUAGGCGGUUUGUCGCGUCUGCUGUGAAAGCCCGGGGCUUAACCCCGGGUGUGCAGUGGGUACGGGCAGACUUGAGUGCAGUAGGGGAGACUGGAAUUCCUGGUGUAGCGGUGAAAUGCGCAGAUAUCAGGAGGAACACCGAUGGCGAAGGCGACUCUCUGGUCUGUAACUGACGCUGAGGAGCGAAAGCGUGGGGAGCGAACAGGAUUAGAUACCCUGGUAGUC